Molecule: long non-coding RNA, 225 nt
Organism: Melitaea cinxia (Glanville fritillary)
Lineage: Eukaryota; Metazoa; Arthropoda; Insecta; Lepidoptera; Nymphalidae
Exons: 2
Source: RefSeq, a predicted model, not a curated record
GAGCUCCGUGCGCGACCUGGCGCCCGCCGCGCUCGGCGCCUGCGCGCACUUCGAGGAGCGCCAGGUGGGCGGCGAGCGCUACAACUUCUUCACCGGUUACGUGAAAGAAAACGCUCCUGACGGUGAGAAAUAAAACAUUUGUGCUACAGAAAUAGUAACUUGAAAAGUAUCUCAGUAUUAAACUGUAGAUUAGAGUAAUUUUUUAGUAAUAAAGUUGAGCUAAGU